CGGUCCUACGGGGCGCAGCAGUGGGGAAUAUUGCACAAUGGGGGAAACCCUGAUGCAGCGACGCCGCGUGAGUGAAGAAGUAUUUCGGUAUGUAAAGCUCUAUCAGCAGGGAAGAAAAUGACGGUACCUGACUAAGAAGCCCCGGCUAACUACGUGCCAGCAGCCGCGGUAAUACGUAGGGGGCAAGCGUUAUCCGGAUUUACUGGGUGUAAAGCGCUCGUAGGCGGUAUGUCAAGUCAAGGGUGAAAUCCCCGCGCUCAACGUGGGAACUGCCUUUGAAACUGGCAAACUGGAGUGUGUGAGAG
This 305-nucleotide ribosomal RNA is filed under the name uncultured bacterium. RNAcentral describes it as "bacterial SSU rRNA". It matches the Rfam family "Bacterial small subunit ribosomal RNA", at positions 334 to 656 of the family's 1533-position model. The record is from RNAcentral.